RNAcentral lists this ribosomal RNA (480 nucleotides) under uncultured bacterium. RNAcentral describes it as "partial 16S ribosomal RNA". It matches the Rfam family "Bacterial small subunit ribosomal RNA", at positions 28 to 523 of the family's 1533-position model. The record is from RNAcentral.
GACGAACGCUGGCGGCGUGCUUAACACAUGCAAGUCGAGCGGAAAGGCCCUUUCGGGGGUACUCGAGCGGCGAACGGGUGAGUAACACGUGAGUAAUCUGCCCCUGGCUUUGGGAUAGCCACCGGAAACGGUGAUUAAUACCGGAUACGACCACUUCUCGCAUGGGAUGGUGGUGGAAAGUUUUUCGGCCAGGGAUGUGCUCGCGGCCUAUCAGCUGUGUGGUGAGGUAAUGGCUCACCAUGGCUUCGACGGGUAGCCGGCCUGGGAGGGUGAACGGUCACACUGGGACUGAGACACGGCCCAGACUCCUACGGGAGGCAGCAGUGGGGAAUAUUGGACAAUGGGCGGAAGCCUGAUCCAGCAACGCCGCGUGAGGGAUGACGGCCUUCGGGUUGUAAACCUCUUUCAGCAGGGACGAAGCGCAAGUGACGGUACCUGCAGAAGAAGCACCGGCCAACUACGUGCCAGCAGCCGCCGUAA